GAUGUGGGGGAUAACCAUUGGAAACGAUGGGCUAAAUAGCCGCAUAAUAGCCUUCGGGCUCAAAGAGGGGGGACCUUCGGCCGUCUCGCGUGCAGGAUAUGCCCAGGUGGGAUUACGCUAGGUUGGUGAGGUAAGGGCUCACCAAGGCAACGAUCCCUAGCUGGUCUGAGAGGAUGAUCAGCCACACUGGAACUGAGACACGGUCCAGACUCCUACGGGAGGCAGCAGUGGGGAAUAUUGCACAAUGGGCGCAAGCCUGAUGCAGCCAUGCCGCGUGUAUGAAGAAGGCCUUCGGGUUGUAAAGUACUUUCAGCAGUGAGGAAGGUUCAUGCGUUAAUAGCGUAUGGAUUUGACGUUAGCUGCAGAAGAAGCACCGGCUAACUCCGUG
RNAcentral lists this ribosomal RNA (388 nucleotides) under uncultured Vibrio sp. Its description in RNAcentral is "bacterial SSU rRNA". It matches the Rfam family "Bacterial small subunit ribosomal RNA", at positions 133 to 507 of the family's 1533-position model. The record is from RNAcentral. Lineage: Bacteria; Pseudomonadati; Pseudomonadota; Gammaproteobacteria; Vibrionales; Vibrionaceae.